This is a long non-coding RNA of Hemicordylus capensis (graceful crag lizard), 589 nucleotides long. RefSeq lists it as uncharacterized. The transcript is spliced from 3 exons. The record is from RefSeq and is a predicted model, not a curated record. Lineage: Eukaryota; Metazoa; Chordata; Lepidosauria; Squamata; Cordylidae.
ACACAGCAGCAACUUCCGGUCACUUCCGCUCUGAGGAGGCACCGGGGCAGCAAGGAGGUACUCUGCCGCCCUGCCGGACUGUUUUAAAAGGCAGCGCCGGCAGGGGAAAUGAGGCGAGGGAAGUAAGAACACCCUCCCCCGUCCUUGAAGCGAUCACCCCUCUCCUCAAACAGGACGAACCACCUGUCUUCCAAACUGGCCCAUAAAGGGCCUCCAAACCAGUUCUGUGCACAUCCCGAGCACUGUGCAGAGAUGCCCCCUCUUGUGGUCACUGCUGGUAUAUACCAGACCAAAGAGUUCUCAAGCCUCUCCCUCUGAUGUGGAAACCAGGAAAAUAGUCACCGUGUGAAACUGAUGAGGUAGACUACCUGUGAAUGUUCAAAUAAAUUGUCAUAAGCCAAUGGAAAGUUUUGAAAGCCAGUAUAAUUCCAGUCAUUGGGAGCAAGUGACCAUAAUAUUGAACGCUAUGUUGGUAAAGGAACUCCUGAAUCAAACCAAACAGUGGAUAUAAUUAUCUUACUACUGCACUCUUUGUAACUGUGCUGUGGUCAUCUCUCACUAACUAGCAACUGUUCCUCAUUAAAUAUUU